UACGUAGGGGCUAGCGUUAUCCGGAAUUACUGGGCGUAAAGGGUGCGUAGGUGGUUUCUUAAGUCAGAGGUGAAAGGCUACGGCUCAACCGUAGUAAGCCUUUGAAACUGGGAAACUUGAGUGCAGGAGAGGAGAGUGGAAUUCCUAGUGUAGCGGUGAAAUGCGUAGAUAUUAGGAGGAACACCAGUUGCGAAGGCGGCUCUCUGGACUGUAACUGACACUGAGGCACGAAAGCGUGGGGAGCAAACAGGAUUAGAUACUCGCGUAGUCCCUGAG
Molecule: ribosomal RNA, 276 nt
Filed under: uncultured prokaryote
Description: partial 16S ribosomal RNA
Rfam family: Bacterial small subunit ribosomal RNA
Source: RNAcentral